UGCUCAGGAUGAACGCUGGCGGCGUGCCUAAUACAUGCAAGUCGAGCGAACAGACGAGGAGCUUGCUCCUCUGACGUUAGCGGCGGACGGGUGAGUAACACGUGGGUAACCUACCUAUAAGACUGGGAUAACUCCGGGAAACCGGGGCUAAUACCGGAUAACACAUGAAACCGCAUGGUUUCAUGAUGAAAGACGGUUUUGCUGUCACUUAUAGAUGGACCCGCGGCGUAUUAGCUAGUUGGUAAGGUAACGGCUUACCAAGGCAACGAUACGUAGCCGACCUGAGAGGGUGAUCGGCCACACUGGAACUGAGACACGGUCCAGACUCCUACGGGAGGCAGCAGUAGGGAAUCUUCCGCAAUGGGCGAAAGCCUGACGGAGCAACGCCGCGUGAGUGAUGAAGGUCUUCGGAUCGUAAAACUCUGUUAUUAGGGAAGAACAAGGAUGUAAGUAACUGUGCAUCCCUUGACGGUACCUAAUCAGAAAGCCACGGCUAACUACGUGCCAGCAGCCGCGGUAAUACGUAGGUGGCAAGCGUUAUCCGGAAUUAUUGGGCGUAAAGCGCGCGUAGGCGGUUUAAGUCUGAUGUGAAAGCCCACGGCUCAACCGUGGAGGGUCAUUGGAAACUGGAAAACUUGAGUGCAGAAGAGGAAAGUGGAAUUCCAUGUGUAGCGGUGAAAUGCGCAGAGAUAUGGAGGAACACCAGUGGCGAAGGCGACUUUUCUGGUCUGCAACUGACGCUGAUGUGCGAAAGCGUGGGGAUCAAACAGGAUUAGAUACCCUGGUAGUCCACGCCGUAAACGAUGAGUGC
RNAcentral lists this ribosomal RNA (811 nucleotides) under Staphylococcus sp. KSUM_57. RNAcentral describes it as "bacterial SSU rRNA". It matches the Rfam family "Bacterial small subunit ribosomal RNA", at positions 21 to 816 of the family's 1533-position model. The record is from RNAcentral. Lineage: Bacteria; Bacillati; Bacillota; Bacilli; Caryophanales; Staphylococcaceae.